Molecule: long non-coding RNA, 980 nt
Organism: Micropterus salmoides (largemouth bass)
Lineage: Eukaryota; Metazoa; Chordata; Actinopteri; Centrarchiformes; Centrarchidae
Exons: 2
Source: RefSeq, a predicted model, not a curated record
UGUGCACGAUGCCAGGUUCCCUUCCAUGUGCACCAGCCUCCAGGAUAGAAGGCUUGUGGGAAAUGCACACCAUUCCUGUGUGAAGCAUGCCAAGUGCCCCUCUGUGUUAUUCUGGACAGAGACUGUCACAAGUAUUUUCACAGCUAGGGUGGCCUGUGUAUAUGUAGUGGUGUCUUUCUGUUUAGUUCUGAUGAUGUACAUUAUUUUUUAUUUACACAAGACAUGGUCUUUGUUUUUUUUCACCAUUUAAUUGUUUAGUCAACAAUCCUCUCAAAAGCAAUAUGUUAUCUUUUUGAUUAUACAAAUUUAAAGGCACUCUUAUCACAGUCUUUUGCAUGUUCAGUUCCUAUAAUGUACAGUUUUAACCCCUCAAUUGUAUAGUGAGUAUAUAUGUAUAUAUAUUGAGUAUAGUGCAUAAUUGAAUAUAUAGAGUAUUGUAAUUGAAUAUUUCAUAAGGUCUUCUGUUUUUUACCGCUUAAUUGUGUAAUCAACAUUGCUCUCAAAAGAAAUGUAUCAUCUGUUUCACUACACAGCUAAAAAGGCGUUAAUUGCACUGUUUAUAAAAAUGAAUGUAUCUUACAAACUAAUUUAUGUACAUAGUUCAGUGUUUUAUGGAGGUUUUUUACACUGACAAGUUUGAGGUUGGCAUUUGUUAUAUUUAUGUAUUUUAAAAAAAUGUGAAUGAUUAGAAACGAUUAGAAUUUCUUUGGGUGUUUAUUGCAAUUUUCAGCUAUUUAUUGAUUUAUUAGUAAUUUAUUACAUACAUAGCUUUCAAAUUGGGGUUGUAAAACGCCUCUCAAUCUCAGCAUUGUGUAUCUUGUUCAUUUAAUCUGUACACAAACAGAAAUGUACAAAUAAAAAUUUGUAGUUUUACAAGAAGUAAAACCUACUAAAGCCAGGUGCAGUGACUUUCUGUACAUUUGUUUUCACUGUGAAGUUGCCAAUCCUAUGUUCUCUUACCAUUAAACAGCAUCACUCCU